AGGAUAUAUUGGAAUUGUAUGACAUUAGUGAUACUACAAUAUUUAAGAGUAAAAUGCUUUCAGCUGUUGCUACAAAAUUUAGGCAACAAAAGUCUUAUCUUACCAGGGAAUGAGUACAUGGGAAACAUAAGGGUAAAAACCCGUGUGAUGAGUAUAAUAUUGACCCUGAAGAAUGGGAGAAAUUCAAAGAAAUUCGGAAUGACCCUUCUUGGAAGCUUGUAAGAAAAAAAGCGCAGGAUAUCCAGAAACUCAAUAAUGCACCCCACCUAUUGUCUCGUGGGGGUUAUGAGCUACUUGUGAGAAAUUAUAUGAAAAGAGAACUUAAACGACUUAAGGAGGUAGCAAUACAAUCUGGUGCUAGUGAGGAUGUAGCCAUUGAUCCUCCACCUCCUCCUCCACGCCAUAGGUUGUGGAACAUGGCUCGCACAAAAAGUUCUGGAGAGAUGACUUUUGAGUCUGCUAAUCAAAUAGCACAAAAAAUUAAUGUGUUGGAAGAGCAAGAAUCACAAGGUUCAUUUAUUCCUGAAGGCCGUCAGGAUAUAUUAAAUACUGCCCUUGGACGACCAGAGCAUCCUGGUCGUGUUCGUACAGCUGGGGUUGGUGUUACUAUUGGUAAUUACUUUGGACCGUUAUCACAGGGGUCAUCCUUAUCUAGAUUGAGCCCACAGGAUCUUGAAGCCCUCACACAACAAAUAUAUGCACGAGUCACAAAAACUUUAAUGGAAAAGUACCC
This is a non-coding RNA of Cajanus cajan (pigeon pea), 733 nucleotides long. Lineage: Eukaryota; Viridiplantae; Streptophyta; Magnoliopsida; Fabales; Fabaceae. The record is from RefSeq and is a predicted model, not a curated record.